AAAAGUUGCAAAAAAGUACACAAUUUAAAAUAAGACAAUAUUUCCAGAGUUUAUAAAUUAUACAUUAAAAUAAAGGGAACAAAACAAUGACAAACAUUUUUAAGUGUGAACGCGACCAUAAUUUAACGUCAACAGCUAACAGCAUCUGUGGCAACACACCAAUGACGUAUAGCUGUCAGCUGAAGAAGCAAAAAUAACAAAUAUGGCCGCAGUUCACGCAUAGCAAUCUUUUAUGGCAGAAAAGUCGAAAAAUAUUAACAAAGACAACAUUUAUUGGGACUACACUUGAAUAAUUUUAUGUGAAAGGGCGUUUGCUAACUGGGACAAAAACUAUGGUUCCUGAUCGGAGGAGGUAUAUUAUUCCAGCAACGGCUCGCUGAAUAGGAAUAACUGCCCCGGAAGGCUGCCGAUGCGUGCCUAGGAGUAAGAAGUCGAGUCUCAGACCGCCGGCCCCCUCGUGGCCUGCGUAUGGACAGCUUCUCGUAUAGAUAUAUGGGAGACUGAUACUUUAUCACUCCAAAGAGUAAAGAGGCAAGGUGAAGCUUACGGCGGUGGUGCAUUUUCAGCAUGUAGUGCUGAUUAAGGAAAGGUGACACAUGGGCCCGCAGUGGUAUAGAAAAACAAAAACGGGCACAAGCGUUUUGGACACGCUGUAUAAGUCGCUUGGUUUUAUAAAGGAGACGUGGUCCAAAUACAACAUCCAUGUAAUUUAAUUUCGACAAUACAAGUGACUCUACUAACCUAA
This 745-nucleotide long non-coding RNA is filed under the name Leguminivora glycinivorella. RNAcentral describes it as "uncharacterized LOC125228541". Lineage: Eukaryota; Metazoa; Arthropoda; Insecta; Lepidoptera; Tortricidae. The record is from RNAcentral.